This is an RNA transcript of Elaeis guineensis (African oil palm), 1474 nucleotides long. It is a transcript of the gene named protein FATTY ACID EXPORT 3, chloroplastic, with no coding region annotated. NCBI's taxonomy places the organism in Eukaryota, Viridiplantae, Streptophyta, Magnoliopsida, Arecales, Arecaceae. The record is from RefSeq and is a predicted model, not a curated record.
UUACUGUUCAUAACGCCCCAAUAAACCUCCUAAAAAACCCGAUUCUUCGAGCUCUCCGCCAUUUCCUCGAUCUCCAUAGCUCUGCUCUCUCUCUCUCUCUGGCCGCAGUCCGCCAUGGCUGUCUCUCUCCAGAGCUUCGCCACCCUCGGAAAUCCUAGUCUGUAUGGAAGCAGGGUGCCGCAGGCUUUCUGCCGCCUUUCUUUCUCGCACUUCUUCCACAUCGACGCCGUUCCUGCCCGCGGGUUGGAUCUGGCUCAAACUCAAUCCUCCCUCUCGAAAAGAAACCCCGGCUUUCGUCUUGUCGCGGUGGAACGACGGAUCUCGAGGCUUGUACCCUUUGCGGCUUCGCAUGAGGAAUCGAAACAUCCAGAUAUUGAAGUGGAGGAAGGACAUAAUAUUGAAAUAAAGAUGGAGGGUUCACAGGAAGCAUGGAAGCAGUCAUUAGAAUAUGUUAAAGCAGAAGCCAUGAAAGCAAAAGCCAUCUCUCAAGAAGCAUAUGAAGUGUACUCCAAGAAAGCAACAGAGAUAUUGCUUGAAGCAUCUGAGAAGCUGAAGAUUCAGGCAGGAAAAGCGCAACAAGAUUUGAGUAUAAUAGCAAAAGAACUCAGUAAGGAAGGAAAAGAAUAUCUUAAUACAACAGCAAAAAAUUAUCCUGAUUCAGUUAAGGAUGUUCUGGAAACUUUCACAUCAUUAAGUGAAUUGAAGAACAUAUCUGAGGUCCGUGAUUACCACAUUGGCAUUCCUUAUGGAACCUUUCUUGCAAUUGGAGGCUUUCUCCAUUUCAUGUUGACUGGAAGCAUUCCUGCUAUUCGGUUUGGUAUCAUUCUUGGCACUGCACUUUUGGCUCUCAGUAUAUCGAGUCUGAGAUCAUGGAAGAAUGGACAACCAUCUGCACUAAAUUUGACAGGGCAAGCUGCAAUUGUGUCGAUUAUCAGCAUAAAGGAGUGGUCAUUGUUCGGUCAGAGGAGAUCGUUUCCAUCUCUUUUAAUGAUCAUCAUCAGUGGAGCAAUACUAGCUUCCUAUGUUUACUUGAUCUUAUCAGUCCGUCGCUUUAAAGGUACAGCCAUGGAAGAAAGAUCAGAGAAUUAAUGCUCUGGGUAAAGGAAUAAAUGGGUCAAUUUCAGUGUUCCCCAGCAGGAAGGGCAUAAAAAGCUGGAUUUUGGUGGUCUGUAGAAUUUGCUUGUGUGAGAGGAUUUCCCAUCCUUGAAUCAAGAAGAACACUACUUUUCUUCUUGGGCUUGUAAUGUAACUAGUAAUUCCACAGAUUUCCCUAGAAUUUUGAUCUUCAAGGAGCCCACAUGGCACCUACCAUUUGUCUAAAUUGUCAGGUGCUGUUGUAGGGCCAAUCGUGUAUUUCAUCAUCAGAACUAGAUGCACUAGGCACCGUUUCCAGGAACAUUUGGUGUAUGUGAUUGGAUUGCCUUUUCUUUCUGGACAGAUUUAAGCAGGUCAGUUCCUUGUAUGCUGUUCUCGU